This 3040-nucleotide long non-coding RNA is filed under the name Homo sapiens (human). RNAcentral describes it as "SMIM14 divergent transcript, transcript variant 2 (SMIM14-DT)". The record is from RNAcentral. Lineage: Eukaryota; Metazoa; Chordata; Mammalia; Primates; Hominidae.
GAGGACUGUGAAGCAAUCGGGGCGAGGCCGGGUGUCUGUUCAACUCUCCCGCGUAUCGUCUGUUUCUUCGGCGGCGGACAGUGUUCUGUAAUGUGUCUCCCGUUGCCCGAGCUAAAGGAAGGCAGUCUCCACACCACUGUGCUCGAACAGCUCUAUGAAGAGGCCUAUGUGGAGAGGAGAAAAAGCCUCCACCAACAGCCAGCACCAACUUGCCAGCCAUAUAUGAACUCUCGCUAUGUUGCCUCGGCUGGUCUCAAACUCCUGGGCUCAAGUGAUCCUCCCACUUCGGCCUCCCAAAAUGGCGUCUUGCUCUGUCACCCAGGCUGGGGUGCAGUGGUGUGAUCUCAGCUCACUGCAACCUCUGCCUCCUGGGUUCAAGCAAUUCUUCUGCCUCAGCCUCCCAAAGAGCUGUGAUUACAGACGUGUGCCACAAUACCCGGCUAAGUUUUGUAUUUUUAUUAUUAUUUUAUUUAUGUGUUUAUUUAUUUAUUUAUUUAUUUAUUUUGAGAUGGAGUCUUGCUGUGUCGCCCAGGGUGGAGUGCAGUGGUGCGAUCUCUGCUCGCUGCAGCCUCUGCCCCCCAGGCGAUUCUCCUGCCUCAGCCUCCCGAGUAGCUGGGAUUACAGGUGCCCGCCACCAUACCCGGCUAAUUUUUGUAUUUUUAGUAAAGACAGGGUUUUGCCAUGUUGGCCAGGCUGAUCUCGAACUCCUGACCUCAAGUGAUCUGUCUGCCUUGGCCUCCCAAGGCAGGGAGCCUGCUGGGAUUACAGGCAUGAGCCACCACGCCCAGUCAAAAUGUUUUAAAUGUUUCUAUACCACCAUCUGUGUCAAAGAGCAAAUGGUCUCUCUGCAGCUGGAACAACAAAAACUCAAAUGGUCCACACAGUGGUUCAUACCUAUAAGUCACCAAACCUAAACUAAGUUGUUAUCUGACCUUCUGGAAAUGAGAAGAGAUAGAUAACUGCCAGUUUCCCAAACAGGCCAGUUUAAAUCUUCCUGUAAGCAUGAUAAGGAAGUUCCCUCUGAUUUAAUCCUUACACACGAAAAAGUAGCCUUAAAUAACCUGAUAUUAACUCAUCAGUUUUAUUUUUAUUUAUUUAUUUUUUUUUGAGACAAUGUCUUGCUCUGUCACCCAGGCUGGAGUGCAGUGGCACAAUCUCGGCUCACUGCAAUCUCCGCCUCCCGGGUUCACGCCAUUCUCCUGCCUCAGCCUCCCGAGUAGCUGGGACUACAGGUGCCUGCCACCACACCCGGCUAAUUUUUGUAUUCUUAGUAGAGAUGGGGUUUCACCGUGUUAGCCAGGAUGGUCUCGAUCUCCUGACCUUGUGAUCCACCCCCCUCGGCCUCCCAAAGUGCUGGGAUUACAGGUGUGAGCCACCGCGCCUGGCCACUCAUCAGUUAUUUUUCUAUCAUUUUGUCUUUCUGUCCCCACUUUACAAGAAAAGUGACUUUGAAAGGACUAAUAACAUUAUUCGUUUUUUGCUUCUGCUUUCUUCAGCCCUUCUCUGUCUGUAAAGCCAGCUUCUUUUGCACAGCUCACUGCAACACUUAUUUUUAUUUGUAUUUUUAUUUUUUGAGACAAUGUCUCACUCUGUCACCCGGGCUGGAGAGUGGAGAGUACUAAUGCAGUCUUGGCCCACUGCACCUUCACCCUCCUCAACUCAAGCAAUCUUCCUGCCUCAACUUCCCUGGCAGCCAGGACUACAGGCUUGCACCACUAUACCCAGCUAAUUUUUAAAAUUUUUUUUUUUGUAGAGACAGGGUCUUGCUAUGUGGGCCAGACUGGUCUCAAACUCCUGGCCUCAAGGGAUCCUUCUUCCUUGGCCUGCCAAAGUGCUGGGAUAGAAUAAGUGUGCCGGGGCCACCAUGCCCAGGCCACCACACCUGGCCCACUUAUUCUAUUUUAUGGAAUGAAGUGUUACCCAAUUCUGGCUUUUUUUGAGACAGGGUCGUGCACCGUUGCUCAGGCGGGAAUGCAGUGGCACGAUCUUGGAACACUCCAACCUCCACCUCCAAGGCUCAAGCCAUCUUCCCACCUCAGCCUCCCGAGUAGCUGGGGCCACAGGCGUGUGCCACCACAUCCAGCUAAUUUUUGUAUUUUUUGUAGAGAUGGGGUUUUGCCAUGUUGCCCAGGCUGGUUUGGUCUCAAACUCCUGGUCUCAAGCCAUCCACCCACCUUGGUCUCCCAAAGUGCUGGGAUUACAGAUGUGAACCAACAUGUCCAGCCUUUUUUUUUUUUUGAGACAAAUUCUGGCUCUGUCACCCAGACUGGAGUGCAGUGGUGCCAUCUUGGCUCACUGCAACCUCCACCUCCGAGGCUCAAGCAAUUCUCUCACCCCAGCCUCCUGAGUAGCUAGGACCACAGGUGCUCACCACCACGCCUGGUUAACUUUUGUGUUUUUUGUAGAGAUGGGGUUUUGCCAUGUUUCCUAUGCUGGUCUGGAACUCAUGAACUCAACAGAUUGUCCCACCUCAGCCUCUCAAAGUGCUGGGAUUACAGCUCAAAGCACCUGUCAUAAAAAUAUUAACUUGUAAUAAAAGUGUUUAGUAACACUAAUAUGUGAUGGCAAUUUCAGGAAAGUCAAUGUUCUGAGCAAGAAGAACAAGGAACAGAAGGUAUAAUGAUAACAGAUGAGAGAGGAAAAAGCAGACUCAAUCAACUCCUACUUUUCCAUCAUUUUUCCGUUACAGAGAAUUAUCCUCAAAUUAGAAGGAGUAGGACCUACAUGGUAAAGAAAAAAUUUACGUGCAAGGCAGAUGAGGAAGUAAGAGAGCAUCCAGCCCCUUCACACAACUUCAUUCUCUGUCUUACCGAAAGAAUGUGAAAUGUGGUGGUAGCUUUACUGGGGACAGGAGAGGUGCCAGAAGUUUGAAGAUGGACUAAUCUCCUUGUUUUCUAAAAGAAGAACCUAUAAGUCUCUGAGCACAUUUUUCUUUGGCAAAAUUCUGGAAUGGAUAAUUAGACAAAUGGUUUGUGAAUCUUUAGAAAAGUGGCAAAAACAAGGCACAGCAUAAAUUCACUAAAAAAUAAGUGGACCUAAA